AUACAUGCUGUGAAAAAUACUUGGGCUAAUUCAGUUCCAACUGUGUUCAAAACUGUUAUGCAUGCUGGAGUAUAAAAUGCUGUUGAAUUGUACUUUUCCUUCACUUUCACAUACACUGUGUUCACAGAAACAUUGCUCAGAUCUUGUCCCCUGGACCUUGGAGGACUUUUGGUGUGGAUGAUGUUCAGUAUGCCCUGUACAUUGCAAUGGGAGCAGAGUGUGAUUUCACUGAGGAAAACAUGCAGCAUAUUAGGUGAUGGUGGUGCCUAGUUCUCCUGCAGAACUUUCCCAUGCCGUCUGAAGAAGUGAGGUUGAAAGAUGGAAAAAGGGGUGGCGAAAACAAAACACACUACAGGAAGCAGAUGUUCUUCUAAGGGACACCCUAGGGGCAGCAAGGUGGUGCGAACUCCAAACAUUUUAAGGAACUGUUUCCCUCCCUAGUGUAAUUGGGAUGGAAGGGGAAGACCGCAUUACAAUACUUAAAGAACUAUGGUUGUAUGAUGGUCUGGAUGAAGAGGAAAAUAUUCUCCUCAAGGAACCAUUCCUGUUACAGAGAAAUUAUGAGAUGAUCUAUGUGGAGGCAGUUGACAACAAGAAAAUGACUGUCUGCCUCUUGAGGAGCAGGAGUGAAGCCAUUUUUGAGGAGUGGUCAAACCUUGAGUUUGUCUGCUGUUUUAAUUGUUAAUUGUGUUUUUAGUAAAGAUGAUGU
Molecule: long non-coding RNA, 709 nt
Organism: Oncorhynchus gorbuscha (pink salmon)
Lineage: Eukaryota; Metazoa; Chordata; Actinopteri; Salmoniformes; Salmonidae
Exons: 5
Source: RefSeq, a predicted model, not a curated record